ACGGAGGGUGCAAGCGUUACCCGGAAUCACUGGGCGUAAAGGGCGUGUAGGCGGUAAGUUAAGUCUAGAUUUAAAGACCGAAGCUCAACUUCGGGAAUGGUUUGGAUACUGGCUUACUAGACGACUGGAAGGGAGAGUGGAAUUCUCGGUGUAGCGGUGGAAUGCGUAGAUACCGAGAGGAACACCAGUGGCGAAGGCGGCUCUCUGGACAGUGCGUGACGCUGAGGCGCGAAAGUGUGGGGAGCGAACCGGAUUAGAUACCCGGGUAGUCCACACCCUAAACGAUGUAUGUUGGAUGAUAGCCCGUUGGGGUUAUUGUCGAAGCUAACGCGAUAAACAUACCGCCUGGGAAGUACGGCCGCAAGGUUG
This 369-nucleotide ribosomal RNA is filed under the name uncultured bacterium. Its description in RNAcentral is "bacterial SSU rRNA". It matches the Rfam family "Bacterial small subunit ribosomal RNA", at positions 525 to 896 of the family's 1533-position model. The record is from RNAcentral.